Molecule: long non-coding RNA, 1024 nt
Filed under: Triticum aestivum (bread wheat)
Lineage: Eukaryota; Viridiplantae; Streptophyta; Magnoliopsida; Poales; Poaceae
Description: long non-coding RNA (TAES_LNC015185)
Source: RNAcentral
UUGCUUAGACUGGGUUGCGUGGUGGAGACUGGAGAGUGGAGAUGACUGGGCUGAACAAAGAAAAAUGCGUGGGUGUGACCUUAUGAGAUCAAAGUAUUCGCCAUCACAACAUGACAGGUAUGUGGACACUUCAGGCUCUAGCUUGAUCUUAAGGUGCCAUAUUUUGAAGGAAAAGUAAACGCCAGUUAAUACAAAUCAUGUUAAGUUUUUGUUGAUAUUAUACACUGCUGUAAAGUGUUCUUUUGAUCAGACUGUUGGUAGAGGGCAACAACCAUGGGACGGAGGGAGUACUUCUCAUGAGGCUAUAACUCUGUAGCUGAUCUGAUUGCUUUUACUUCUGUAUAUGCACUUCACUAUGUAAUCUCACGAACUUCUGUUAUUUCCUUUCCUGUAUUGGCUACAGCUCGACCCUUGCUGAUCUAGAAAGAAAGCCUUGUACCUAUUGUCGGUCCUGCUCCUGUCUCUCUGUCCGAAGAAAUCUAUUAAUUUUUUCUAUAUGGAUGAACCUUUUUUUUAUUUGCGGGGUUUUGCAGCCUAUAGAAUUAUUUUCGUACGGAUCCAUUUGCACAAUUAGUUUACACUAUUGCUUUGUGCAUUGAGUGCAACCGCUUCGGAAUAUUCCUUUACUUUAGCUUUUCAAUACUGUUGAAUUUUAAAGGGAUUUCAAUUAAAGUGACAUAAUACUAGAAAUAUAUGUGUUUUUCUUUCCGUGCUUUGACUGAGUGCAUCCCUGUAGGCAUAGAAGACUAUCUUGUGGCCUCACUCUGGAAAUCUGUUUCUUUAGACAUGGUUGUGAUUUUUUGUCAUAUCACGGAAAUUCAGAUGCCAUUUAAAACCCUAGCUUGAUAGGAAAGAAGUUACAAAACAUAGUAUGGAUAGUAGUUAAUUCAAACCAGGUUGUGGAUAAAACUAUCGCAACUGAAUUUGCUGUUUUGUUUCAUGAGCUGCGCUCUGAAUCUGGACCUAAAACUUCACAAGAUGAUAAACCCUUGUGAGAACAAGAGAAUAACAAGACGGGAAUGCA